AGAGUUUGAUUCUGGCUCAGGACGAACGCUGGCGGUAUGCUUAACACAUGCAAGUCGAACGAGACGAGAUGGAAGGAUCCUUCGGGUGACGGAAAUCUUAGAAAGUGGCGAACGGGUGAGUAACGCGUGGGUAACCUGCCCUAUGGAAAGGAAUAACCUCGGGAAACUGGGAGUAAUGCCUUAUAAUACAUUGAAGUCGCAUGGCUUUGAUGUUAAACGCUCCGGUGCCAUAGGAUGGACCCGCGUCCCAUUAGCUAGUUGGUGAGAUAACAGCCCACCAAGGCGGCGAUGGGUAACCGGUCUGAGAGGGCGAACGGUCACACUGGAACUGAGACACGGUCCAGACUCCUACGGGAGGCAGCAGUGGGGAAUAUUGCGCAAUGGGGGCCAACCCUGACGCAGCAAUACCGCGUGAGUGAAGAAGGUUUUCGGAUCGUAAAGCUCUGUUAUUGGGGAAGAAAAAAGACGGUACCCAAGAAGAAAGUCCCGGCUAACUACGUGCCAGCAGCUGC
This 512-nucleotide ribosomal RNA is filed under the name uncultured bacterium. RNAcentral describes it as "bacterial SSU rRNA". It matches the Rfam family "Bacterial small subunit ribosomal RNA", at positions 8 to 518 of the family's 1533-position model. The record is from RNAcentral.